Molecule: long non-coding RNA, 1472 nt
Organism: Syngnathoides biaculeatus (alligator pipefish)
Lineage: Eukaryota; Metazoa; Chordata; Actinopteri; Syngnathiformes; Syngnathidae
Exons: 5
Source: RefSeq, a predicted model, not a curated record
UGUCAAUGGAAAUCACUGAAUUAUCCUUGAAUUUGAAGAACUGUAACUGGUCAUAAACCAGAGUUUAGGAUAAGGGAUAUUUAAAGAUCAAGUGUCAUGAAAUGGAUGCUUUUUAGUAUAUUAUUAAUGAAAAAAAUGGCAACUGGUAUGGACCCAUCAGUUUUUUUCACCACAAAACAGGAUUUUGACAUAUAUGGCUUUUUGUAACUCCCGCCAUGAAAAUUCUUUUGGGAUUUGUUUUCGAGAAGAAGCAGGAAGUGACAUACGUGGGAGGAGCGCCCUCCAGCGGCCUCGUUUGUUUCUAUUAGUUUUACCUUCGGGAAGGUAGCUCGAUGUUCCUUAGUGUUAGCCAAAAUGCUGGCUUGUUGCAUUGCUGGAUAUUCCUCGAACACUCUGGAGGAUGGAUUUACCCUUCAUAAGUUUGUAAGAGACCCGGUUCAUCGUGAAAAAUUGAUUGCACAGGUGCAGAGGACGAGAGCUUCGUGGGUUCCAAAUGACAGCCGCAUCUUCUGAAUCUUAAAGGUGCCUAAUGAGGAAGCAGAAGACAAGCUUUGUCUACAGCUGGCAUAAGUCGCAGAAAGACCGGACGAGCGUAAGGGGCGAGAGCUUUUUGGACAACGGACAAGAAGGCCUCUGGGUCAAACUGGCCUCCUCCAUGUGCUAUUGCUGCCAUACCAGCCCUCCCCUCCACACCUGCAUUCACAAGUUGUGAUAAGAAAUCUAAAGCACGCAGUGUUUUCCUUCCUUUUGGCUCGAGACUAUUUUGUUGGUGGUGUAAGUAAGCACUGACGUGGUUUUGUGCUGUCUUAAGGUGUUCAUGUUGUGUUCUUAUUAAAAGCUCACUCAAUAGCUUUUUGUAUAUUUUGCUUGUAUUUCCUUCAUUUUGGUAGCAAAUAAUGUCUCGUUCAUUUUCUUCCCGGAUGACUGAGCAAGAGGCAGAGGCCAAUCACAGGCCUCAUACUGACAAACAGGAAUUCACUGCAUUGCCUCAGUAGACUACAUGGGGCAGGUCUUCAAAGAUUGGCUAUACGGCGACAUCAGUGUGUCCCAACAGGCCACUGAGGACCCCCUCCACCUCCGUGGUGGAAACAUUCUCCCCUCGCCAGCGAAAGGUGUCACCGCAGCGGUCUCUGAAGUACAUGUAGCCAUAAUCGUCCAUCACCAGUAUAUCACCUGAGAGAUGAUGAGGCAAGGCAAAUGAGGGCCACAGUUCAAGAGAGUCCUAUGUGAAGGGAGAAAAAUUGCAGCUAGUUGUUCAUCAGAAAGGAUUGGUGUUGAGAUACCCCUGAGCAAGGCACCAACUCCCUCUAAACUCUGGUGAGAUACAGAACUGAGUGCGCACUGUGUCAAUCUGACAUGUCUCCAUGCAUGCUUGCUUUUUGUCAUCUGGUUUUCUGUGGAGUGUCCAACCAAUUUAGGCCAGUGUAUACACCCUGCUGUUAAUGAUUUCCAAUUCUUUUAUUUAAGUUAUA